AUUGAACGCUGGCGGCAUGCCUUACACAUGCAAGUCGAACGGCAGCACGGGAGCAAUCCUGGUGGCGAGUGGCGAACGGGUGAGUAAAGUAUCGGAACGUGCCCAGUCGUGGGGGAUAACGUAGCGAAAGUUACGCUAAUACCGCAUAUGAUCUCUGGCUGAAAGCGGGGGAUCGCAAGACCUCGCGCGAUUGGAGCGGCCGAUAUCAGAUUAGGUAGUUGGUGGGGUAAAGGCUCACCAAGCCGACGAUCUGUAGCUGGUCUGAGAGGACGACCAGCCACAUUGGGACUGAGUCACGGCCCGGACUCCUACGGGAGGCAGAAGUGGGGCAGUUUGGACAAGGAGCGCAAGCCUGAUCGCGACAUGCCGCGCACAGGAUCAAUGCCUUCGGGUUGUAAACUGCUUUUGUACGGAACGAAAAGGUUUGGCCUAAUAACCUGAGCUCAUGACGGUACCGUAGGAAUAAGCACCGGCUAACUACGUGCCAGCAGCCGCGGUAA
Molecule: ribosomal RNA, 500 nt
Filed under: uncultured bacterium
Lineage: Bacteria
Description: partial 16S ribosomal RNA
Rfam family: Bacterial small subunit ribosomal RNA
Source: RNAcentral